UCUGCGUUAGCGAUUGCAGCGGCAUCCUUUUUUAGGCGGCCCAGCCGGCUGAAAAAGAUACAGCGGAAAGCGCGACCCGUU
This 81-nucleotide small RNA is filed under the name Arenibacter nanhaiticus. RNAcentral's name for it is "Arenibacter sp. NH36A Flavo-1 RNA". It matches the Rfam family "Flavo-1 RNA". The record is from Rfam by way of RNAcentral. Lineage: Bacteria; Pseudomonadati; Bacteroidota; Flavobacteriia; Flavobacteriales; Flavobacteriaceae.